AUAAUUGUUUUGGUGACUUACAUUCCCGAAGAUUAGGUUUUUGAAUUCACGAGUCACCUGUGGCAUCGUGGUAACUAACAUUUAAAUUCCUUUUAUUGCAGGUCGAUGUAGAGAAUUUACUUUAUCAGAGAAGCCCCAUGGUGGUUCUUUUAGAUUUUUCACUUGAAUUAUUUUCUAAUUGGCAUUCAAGAGUGACGUAUUGUGUUUUAGUUAUUAAUUAAAAAAAAAAACUAUAUAAUGGUAUUUCCAUAAUUUGACUGGGAUGGAUAUAUAUAUGUGUGUGUGUGUGUGUGUGUGUCUGUCUGUCUAAGAAUCCAUAAAUCAGAAAAAAAUAUGUACUUGCAUAUUUGUCAGUGGGUAUAUUAAUCGAAGUGUACAAUAUCCAUUGCAGACGAUUAGUUUCGUCGGGUAUUAUUAAAUAAGUCCUAUUAUGAAACCCUCUCAAGACUGACUCUACUAAAAUAAUAAUUGAAAACCCAAAAUCGCCAAAGCGAUUUGAGAGCCCCGGUAUCCUGAGUUCAGUUCAUACAUCUGCUUUCUCUGGAUUGGGUAAAUUCUGAGGCAAGUGUUCUAUGGUCAGAUGCUGUUCCUAUCACCAACCCUCACCUGCUUUUCAAAUUACAGAUUUUAAUUGCAGUUUCACUCGUGAUACUGGGCAUGCCGAGGCUAUGGAAAACAUUUCCAAGAUACCAUAAUGGGAUGGUAGCCGAGAGACCAUGUAGUUGGAAAACAAACUGCUCAAGCUACCAGGACUUAAGUAAACCAAUACCGGUUGUCAAGCGGUGCUGGUGGAACUUCUUUCAGGUUCCGUCUACCAAAUUCCCUGAAGAUUUAACCCGAGGCUUUAAUUAGGAAAUGCUUACUCAAAUCGAGAAUUUUUCAUUGUUUUGGGUUUAUAUAUUCGAAGAUUCAAUAUUCCUGUGUAAUCUAGAUUCUCGAAAACGUAUGUCUGCAAAAUAUCGUUUAAAAAUAUGCAUUUUGAAGAGGAGCGUAAGAAGUUUUGCUUCCUGACCACAUGGUGACGGAUCCAUUUCCACAGCGUGGCACUUAUAGCGUUGUUCCAUAGCCCUUGGCUGACCAAUGUCUUUUGGAUGGAUUUGGUAGAAGAAAACUGAAAGAAGUCCGUCCUGUAUAUACACACAGCAGUUUAGCAUAAUAGAUCGAACCGACAAAAUUACCAGGCUUAAAUAAAAAAAAAAAAAAAAAAAAAAAAAUUAAAAUUAAAAGGGCUGUCUUGUUCGAAAUCCCUUCUAAGCAUCAUCCAAUAUGGCUGCAGCCUAAUGACUGAAACAAGUAAAAAGGUAAUCAGUCUACAUUCUCGAAAGCUUAUUUCUGCGAAAGUUCAUUUAGAAUUAUGCUUUUUUUUCUUAUAAGUUAUGCAGAAACUUAGCUGUCUGUAAUUAUAACCCUAACCACACAAUCAUGCAUGCACAAUAAUUGGUAUUGCAGAAUAUAAAUAAAUAUAUAUAUAGUCCAUUUAAUGAUGUAUAGUUUUUUUUGUAAGUUCUCGCAAUUAAAUGCAAUUAUUCCUAGGGAGCGAACUUUUAGAUAACAUUAGGAUAUCAAAGGUUUUAUAAAAUUGCUAAUUGUUAUAAUUUUGGCAUCUAUUUUACUAAACCAUGCUUGUCAUGCAUAUAAAGAAACUCUCUAUUGAAUGUUUACAGUCUGAAUUUUUGCAACUUUGACGUUAUGUAUAUACACAUGCAAGCAUGGAUGUGUGGUUGAGAAGCUUGUUUCCAUGUGGUCUCGGGGGGGUUCAGUCUCAUGGCAUAGAAUAAGUCUUUUUAUAGCCCCAGGCUAACCAAAGUAUUGUGAGUGGAUUUGAUCUGCUAAACCUUCGGUCAUUCAUCAGAGCAGUAAGGGAGCUCAGUUGUGUGUAUGCCUUUGCCCUUGUCUUGAUGGUUGUAAAUGAGUCACCGUCAUACAAGCGGUUUGUUCCCAGUUUUCUGGCUAUGGGGAAAUGGUACUUUGCUUCGAAACAAAUGAAGGUUGGUGACAAGAAGGGAAUCUGGUCAUAGAGAAGCUGCCUCGACAAAUUCUAACCCAUGAGCAUGAUGGUGCAAAGAUGAAUGUGUUUGUGUGAAUUUCGUCUGGUAAUUGGAAAGUAAAUUUGCCUGUGUUGGGUGAAUUUCCUUUUUCUUUCCUUUCUCUUUCUCUAAAAUAGCAGCAACUUUAAACUUCUUAUCUAACCAUGAUGAUCCUUUUUAUUCUUCCUGUUUCAACAGUCAUCAUUCAGUAACUGAAAGACGUCUUCGCCAGUUUUGCAGAUAAAGGUGGCCUCCAUUUUAAUUUACUUGUAUUAUCUAAUUUAAUUCUUUUAAUUAGAAGAUAACUUUAUCAACUUAAAUGCUUUAUCUUUUGCCACUCUGUUGUAUCAAAAGGGACCCUUCAAUACCCAGGAAUGGUCCCUCAUGUUGCUUUCUUCUGAAUUCACUGAGAGUUAACCAAAAUCUCAGUAAAAUAUAUACUACCUGGUAAUGAGCUGAUGGUAGGCUAGCAUAGACAAAUUUAUGGUAAAACAUUGAGCAUUGAUUCAAUUAACUCUUCACUCUUGCAGAGCUUACUUUGUACCAAUUAUAUAGAACUUCACUUCUUAGUGAUGACCUGUUUAAGCUAGGUUGGCUAAGGUCAGAAAACUUCUAUUUUUCUGACUAUUUUUUUAAUGAGUAGAGCCUGUGUUUUAUCUACUUUUCAAUCAAAAUUUUGGAACAGUUUCAUAAGAUAUCUUUAUAUAUGUUGGUGUUGAUACCUCAAAAUGCUGUUCCAGUUGUGAGAGUUUUUAUUUUUAGAGCUUUUGUGUGUAAGCAUGUUUACCAUCCCCUUCAGUUGGGUGGACAGUAGUAGAAAAGGAAUUUAACUGUAAAAGACAAAAUACACUUCUCAGAGUAUAAUGAAUGUAAAAGAAUUCUAGUAUCAAUACAAAUUUUUAGAUAGAUUUUUUGAUGAAUUAUUUUAAGAUAAAUGUAUAAUUUAAGUUUUUUUUUUCUUUAUUUCUUUCAGACUUAAUCCACAGUUGUAUUCUUUUGGUGGCAACUUCUCACUGCUUGAUCGAAGGGAUGCUUUUCAAGUGCCUAUUACCAGCUUUGAUAAUCAAUGGUGAAAAAAUUGCAAUUAGAGCCAGUUUAUACUACCUGUGGAAAAAGACUGCAAGGGUAGUAACAAAAGAAAUGAAUGAGGGCCCAAGAAUUGUCAACAAAUGUUUGAUGCUACCUUCAACGACAGGCCAAGGUUAAGACCUUCUGUUGUGGAAGAUGAGGCCUUGCUUGAAAUGGUUGAACAAAUCAAGAACCAACACUUCCAUAAACUUGGUCUUAUAAGUGGAUGUUGUCAAGAUGUUCCCCAUGAACAGACCGAUGACUUGUGAAUAUUUGCAAAACAUUUUUUUGACUUGACCUGGACGUUUUGUCUCAAAACCAGUUUGUUGCUAAGCAAAGACUGGCAAAUGAUGCUAAAUCCUGGACGCUUCUCUCUGUCCUCUGUACAAUUCUUCAUCACUUCCACAAACAUUUUUAGUGACUCAUUGUAUCUUGUAACAUUUUCUAACUAAAUUGGUCAUUGUUUCUCAUUGACUCACAUAUUUGAUACUUCACCUAGAGAUUUUCAGGUACUCUGCUGAUACACUAUAGCAUUUUCU
Long non-coding RNA from Octopus sinensis (East Asian common octopus), 3634 nucleotides. RefSeq lists it as uncharacterized. The transcript has 2 exons. Lineage: Eukaryota; Metazoa; Mollusca; Cephalopoda; Octopoda; Octopodidae. The record is from RefSeq and is a predicted model, not a curated record.